AACAUGCCCGCUAGUGCACCUGUCAUAUCUAUGCUGCUGUGACCUGUUCCUUUUCGACAUUUUCGUAUUUUUCUGUGACUUCAGAGGGAGGUAAACAGGAAGUAAGUGACCUGGCCGUGUCAGGCUGAUCAGAUUUGACAGAACGCGGAGCAGUCCGAUUUGGGUUGACGGUUCGGACGGUUGUUUCCAAUGUUAAGAUUCCGAGAAAACGAUGUGCAAUGUCCCUUUCCACUUCGCAUCCGCUCCAUGUGUGUCGUCGUCGGACGCCUCAUGCCGCUCUGCUAGCUCACCAGCCUCCCUGUAUUAUCCAACCCUCGCCACGUGACAGGCUGCUCAAUGUGUGGUGUCUCGGACGCCUCAUGCUGCUUUGCCAGCUCCCCAGCCUGGAACAUCCCCCUGUAUUACCCAACGUGAGUGCCACGCACCGUAACAGCUUUUGCUUCAUUUUCGUUGGUUCCAAAAACAAUCGUCACAAAUCAUUGAAUAAUUUUUAUUUUAUUUACACAUACAGCAUAUACAAAACACCCUCCACCCAACCCACCACCAUGAGCACCUCAGUGACGGUGUCAAUGUUUGCCAACUCCAGCAGCACACGGCACACGGAACACGGCGACCACGACCACUGUUGCCACAAUAUUAUACAGUACAUACUACAUACACACUACCAAAUCAUGUUCAAUAAUAUUUUAACAAAAUAUAUAGAUUGUCCUUUUUGCAAAGAUUCAUCCCUGGUAAAUAUUAGUCUGUGUUUGUGGGGGUUAGAUACAAGUUGGAGAAAAUGAAUAGCCUAUCAAGUCAAGGUUAGGUAACAUGCUUUUGUUUCUUCGUUUUGAGUAAUACUGUGCCCUUCAUAGAAAUGGAGUGAAGCCGGUUUUCAUAGCAGAGCAGCUACUAAGAAGUUACUCUUGCCGAUGGACCUGUCUUAGGUGUGUAUGCAACAAGGAAGAUUCAAGUUUAAUGCCUGGCACUGUGGCCAACGCCCUGAGAAAUGCCUAGGCCUAUAUCUCCUAACACAACAAUUACAAAACAGUCUAUAAUAUCUGACUUUUGGAACAGAGAUGGAGUUCCAGGUGAAGCUACAAAAGGUGGCUCAGGACCUGAGCAGAUAUGACACAAAAGCUUAAGCCUUUCUCUGCAAGGAUAUCCUGAAAUGUUAUAUACGCUUGGUGGAGUCCCCAAGUGACCUCUUCCACCGUCUGGGAGAGCAAAACGACUCAG
RNAcentral lists this long non-coding RNA (1218 nucleotides) under Gadus morhua (Atlantic cod). Its description in RNAcentral is "lncRNA (ENSGMOG00000036795.1)". Lineage: Eukaryota; Metazoa; Chordata; Actinopteri; Gadiformes; Gadidae. The record is from RNAcentral.